UAAGAUGGCUGAGUGUAAGCGGUGGAUUGUAGACCCAUGAACGGGGGCUCGAACCCCCUCUUGC
This 64-nucleotide transfer RNA is filed under the name Alfaro cultratus. RNAcentral describes it as "tRNA-Tyr". It matches the Rfam family "tRNA". Rfam says of the family: Transfer RNA (tRNA) molecules are approximately 80 nucleotides in length. The record is from RNAcentral. Lineage: Eukaryota; Metazoa; Chordata; Actinopteri; Cyprinodontiformes; Poeciliidae.